This 1822-nucleotide long non-coding RNA is filed under the name Homo sapiens (human). RNAcentral describes it as "non-protein coding lnc-DHX38-40:1". The record is from RNAcentral. Lineage: Eukaryota; Metazoa; Chordata; Mammalia; Primates; Hominidae.
AUAAAAGGGAGAAAGUGAAUCAGAACUGAAAGGGGAUAACUUCAGGAAAGACAAGAAAAGGAAAAGUUGCACUUGGAAACAAGUCCAACUUUCUACCUUUCUGGACUUAAGAGAAAAGUAAAAUCAAUUUUCUCGUGUGAAACCUGGAAAGCAGAUGUUUUCAAAACACAGGAAGCUAUUUUGCCAUCAAAAGCAGGGAUGUAAUAAAGGCAGUGAAAAAUAAUUUCAGACUGAAUUCAUAAGAGAGAAAGCCAAUAUAUUUAAAUAUAGAGGAAAGGCCUAGGGUGUAGAAAGGGGAAAUUACAUACCCCUUCCCUAAUGCCAAAAAAAAAAAAAAAAAAAGCCUUACAGCUACCUCCAAGAGUUUGGAGCACAGUCACGAAGCCAAAGGGCUUGAAAUGAGAGGAUGGAUUUCAGAUAAAGACUAGGAGCGGUACAUCCCACUAGAGCCCAAAGGAGAUCCCUGGAAUCAAAGACAGCAGCGAGGGACCCUACUACUGUACCGAUUCCCAGUACAUCAAAGCCAUCACUUAGGCUGGUGCACGGUACCUCCAAAAAGCAAGCAAACAAACGCAGGAAGAACAAGAGUCAGUGUCUGUCUGUCUCUCUCUCUCUCUCUCCCCCCUCUUCUCUGUCUCUUCCCCCCCCUUUCAAAUCCUAGCCUCAGCGUCACUGCUACUGCAAUAGAUUUUUUAAAAAUGACAAGUUGUAUUUAUGUAAGUUCUAAAUAUGAACUAAUACCAUUGAAAUUACAAUGUCUGGAAUAAAAUAAAAUGCAAUCAGCACUUUAAGUAAUCUGCAAAUGUAAAAACAACAUUUAUGUUUUUGAAGGCAUUAUUAGUAAACCCUGUAACACCAGAUAGCUUGCUAAAACUUAUUUUUCUUGGGAAAAAAUGUUGCCCUAGCCUACCAGAUUAUUUAUUUUAGAAGGAAUUUGGGAAUUAAUCAGGAAAUCUGUUUGAUUAGAAAGUAAUUCUUCAUUUUGAGAGAUUUUCCAAUGCUCUUAAGAACAUGCAGCUUCUUAGUCAAGACUAGAGAGAAAAAAACCGGUUUAGGAUUUUGCAGGGUUACCUCAUCUAAUCCUUCUGAAUUCACUCUGGGAAUAAUGCUAUUUUAUUUACGGGGGGCGGGGGAAGAAAAUACAUUUAGAAAAAUCAGGGGUUUCCUCUCUGUGAGCCAAAUCUGGGUUGCCAUUCAAACUUUUUCUGGCUGCUUUUCCAUGCAGGACAGCUGAUCAAUAAAGCCAAGUCCAGCCUGGCUUGCUACAGGUUUCACCAGUCAGUGCUUGCAAAACCUUUGUCAUUUUCUAAAAAUAAAAAAGCUAAAAGUUAUUGUAGAAGAAGGGGCUUUUUUUUGUCCCCUGCACAAUGUGUCUUUUGUGAGGUUAAUGCCAUUCUGGGCUCUCGAUAGCCCUGGACAAUGGGGAACUCUCUAGGAGCCUGCAAAGAUUCUAGCUUUUUUCUUUCUUGCCUUUUUUUUUUUUUUUUUUUAAGGGAAGGAUGAAACAUUCCUACAGUCCAAACACAACCUCUACUGUGAUUAAAUAAAUAUUUAUCUUUAUUGUAGCCAUUGUAUAUUUUUACCUUCAGUUUGUCCGGUUUCUGAUUAUUAUUUUAAAUUUUUCAAUGGCAACAGUUAAUCUUUUUUUUUUCCCUUUCAGUCCAAAGGGCAGGUCAGUGUAAAAUGUAGCUGACUGAAGGAAGACUGGUAAAUUCUGAAUUUUUCCAUAAUACAUCAGGUAAGGAAAAUUGUUCAGACCCUCAGGAAUAUAUUCACUUCCUUUUUAUCUGUCUUCACGAAUCUUCAUAAAGCUGUUUAUUUU